UCCUCGGUAGCUCAGCGGUAGAGCCCUCGACUGUUAAUCGAGUUGUCGCAGGUUCGAAUCCUGCCCGGGGAGCCA
RNAcentral lists this transfer RNA (75 nucleotides) under Methylopila capsulata. RNAcentral describes it as "tRNA-Asn". It matches the Rfam family "tRNA". Rfam says of the family: Transfer RNA (tRNA) molecules are approximately 80 nucleotides in length. Their secondary structure includes four short double-helical elements and three loops (D, anti-codon, and T loops). Further hydrogen bonds mediate the characteristic L-shaped molecular structure. tRNAs have two regions of fundamental functional importance: the anti-codon, which is responsible for specific mRNA codon recognition, and the 3' end, to which the tRNAs corresponding amino acid is attached (by aminoacyl-tRNA synthetases). tRNAs cope with the degeneracy of the genetic code in two manners: having more than one tRNA (with a specific anti-codon) for a particular amino acid; and 'wobble' base-pairing, i.e. permitting non-standard base-pairing at the 3rd anti-codon position. Lineage: Bacteria; Pseudomonadati; Pseudomonadota; Alphaproteobacteria; Hyphomicrobiales; Methylopilaceae. RNAcentral also lists the same sequence under 15 other names. The record is from RNAcentral.